AUGAACGCUGGCGGCGUGCCUAAUACAUGCAAGUCGAGCGAACAGAUCAGGAGCUUGCUCCUUUGACGUUAGCGGCGGACGGGUGAGUAACACGUGGGUAACCUACCUAUAAGACUGGGAUAACUUCGGGAAACCGGAGCUAAUACCGGAUAAUAUUUCGAACCGCAUGGUUCGAUAGUGAAAGAUGGUUUUGCUAUCACUUAUAGAUGGACCCGCGCCGUAUUAGCUAGUUGGUAAGGUAACGGCUUACCAAGGCGACGAUACGUAGCCGACCUGAGAGGGUGAUCGGCCACACUGGAACUGAGACACGGUCCAGACUCCUACGGGAGGCAGCAGUAGGGAAUCUUCCGCAAUGGGCGAAAGCCUGACGGAGCAACGCCGCGUGAGUGAUGAAGGUCUUCGGAUCGUAAAACUCUGUUAUUAGGGAAGAACAUACGUGUAAGUAACUGUGCACGUCUUGACGGUACCUAAUCAGAAAGCCACGGCUAACUACGUG
Molecule: ribosomal RNA, 496 nt
Filed under: uncultured bacterium
Lineage: Bacteria
Description: partial 16S ribosomal RNA
Rfam family: Bacterial small subunit ribosomal RNA
Source: RNAcentral